CAGCCGGGUGUCCCGCGGGGGAGAGCCCUCGAGGGCCCCGCUGACCGCUCGAGAGAGCCCCGCGCUCCUUCCCACAGUGACCCGAGCAGCUUUCCCCCGGUUCCCGACGGGGCUCGGCCUGCGGGGGCAUCCUGCCAGCUCUCCGGGUGGCAAAGGGGUGAUUCCCAUGGGGAAAGGGCUCUCCAUGGCACUGCGGAUGGCCUUGUGAAGCAGGUUUUUCCUGCAUCUGGGAAUUAGGACUCUGGGUGGUAAAUGGUAGGAAUCAGCAUAUGGGAGCCUUCUCAGCAGCUGGUUCCUGCUGUUCCCAGGAAAGGUGAUGCAUCUGCAAGUCCAGUGCAGGAGUGCAGGCUGAGCUCCAGGUGAAACACAACAGUUUUGGGGCAGCUGUGCCCAGCAAACCCAGGCCACACACAGAGAAAUCAGUGGGAGCGUUAUCAGGAUUUUCACCCUACAGGUGAAUCACGAAGUCCUGGUGGGAUUUCUCGACGCUGUUGGGUUUUCUGUGGCAUCCGCGUUUUCUGCCUCGGACACACGGUGGCGAUGGAAAUCACCUUUUCCUCCAGAGCUUCGGGCCUUGGAGUGCGAAGUAACCACACCUGAGUGUCCCAGAGCACGGGAGGAUGGAACAUUUCUGCACAAUCCCGAAAAACCGCUGACAUUUCAAGUGGCCGAGGCUCCAGAGAAUCCAGAAAACUUUCUCCUCAGCACUGAUAUUCUUUAAAUUAAGGUGUUUAUGUUUAAAACAAGAGCAAGCAAACGGAGCCUGGAGGGCCGGUGUGUCGGUAUUUCACGUUAAAGUCAAUCUGACCUUUGUGUUCCUUGGCUGCCAGGGCAGGAGUGGUGCCAGGCUGGCAGUGUCACCGACCCCUCACCCGGGGUGAUCUGUGCUGUGUUUGCACUGGGGGUGUCAGCAGAGCCUGCUCAGGAGAGGUGGAACCGGCCCCUGGCGUCACGAAACGUAAAAACAUUUCCCCUGUAUUUUUUGGAGCUUAUUAACUAAGGCUAAACUUCCUCUUUUUUUUUUCUUUUUUUUGAGAAAACAGAGUGGCAUGAGUUCAGUGUGCACAUGCUUGGAAGUCAUGGAGUGAGAGUAAAUAUAACCCCGUCCAGUUUUGGAGAAGGACAGGAAAAGGAUGUGCAGUUACCACUCCUCCUCCAAAGCAGAACGUGGUUAUGAUUCAAAAAUUUAAAAGAAAACUGUUGGAAAGUGUGUCUGAACCCUGUGAAACAAUUGAAACACAGAUUGUUCCUGCCUAGACUUGAAUCCCAGGAUCGUUUAGGUUGGAAAAGACCUCCCAGAUCAUCGAGUCCAACCUGGCACUGAGAGCACUGAGUGCCACAUGCAGGCCUUCCUUGGACAGCUCCAGGGAUGGGGACUCCACCACUGUUAAUAGUUUAAUUUAAUGGAAUCGUGGAAUCCCCUGCUUUGGAAGGGACCCACAAGGAUCAACCCUUACUUUCAGCUGAUCAUUCCAGGUGCCCUCAGCCUCUCCUCACAUGCCUUCCCCUCACCGUCUUCAUAGCCCAAAAAAAAGCUCCUUCCAAAUCCAUGCUGGAUUUUUAAGGUUAAUGUGUUUAACUUGCCCUUUUCCACGUGGCAUGAGCCUCUCUCUGCCCUUGAGUGGAAGCGUUGCUGCAGGAUUUCGGUGUAUGAAGCAAUCCCUCCCCCAGCAGUGUUUGGACAGCGUUUGUACCUGGAUGGAUGCGCUGGGCUGGGCAGACAGGCAGAGUGCAGGUGCAGGUUUUAGCACGCCUGGAGCUCUGGGAACAGCGGCCAGGAUGAACUCAGCACCUGUCGUAACCUCCUGGUUUGGUAAGUUCUGUAUAUAGUUAUUAUCGGUGAUUUGGGACCAGCCCCUCAGCAAGCCACGCACUCCCCCUCACUUCUGCAGGAGCUGGGAUUUAGCGCUGCAGAUGAUUAACUCACACCAAACCCCUUCUCUUUAGCUCCUUCAUGAAAUGCUUACUCAGAGGAAGAUUCUUUAUGUAAAAGGCACAUCUAUAUCUAUGUAUUUAUGAUUACACAGGUAUAAAUAAAAGUGUCUGUGCCCCCAGAUUUUCCAGAUUUAGGCCAAGUGGAUGCGAGAUUAUGGUCUGUUCCCCCAAUAAUUUUAUUAACUAUAAAGCCCCAAAUCGGAUUUUCUGGCUGGGUAAUUCUCGCCUGCAGUGGGCACCCAUCCCACCACGUGCUCCCAGGUCAGUGUGGUUUCCUGCAGGGUCUCACACCUCCUAUCCAGUGCCGUGGUGGAGAUUAUCUGUAGUUUGGAA
Hirundo rustica (Barn swallow) is the source of this 2268-nucleotide long non-coding RNA. RefSeq lists it as uncharacterized. The transcript is spliced from 3 exons. The record is from RefSeq and is a predicted model, not a curated record. Lineage: Eukaryota; Metazoa; Chordata; Aves; Passeriformes; Hirundinidae.